CCUACGGGAGGCAGCAGUAGGGAAUCUUCCGCAAUGGACGAAAGUCUGACGGAGCAACGCCGCGUGAACGAUGAAGGCCUUCGGGUCGUAAAGUUCUGUUGUUAGGGAAGAACAAGUGCUAGUUGAAUAAGCUGGCACCUUGACGGUACCUAACCAGAAAGCCACGGCUAACUACGUGCCAGCAGCCGCGGUAAUACGUAGGUGGCAAGCGUUGUCCGGAAUUAUUGGGCGUAAAGCGCGCGCAGGCGGUUUCUUAAGUCUGAUGUGAAAGCCCCCGGCUCAACCGGGGAGGGUCAUUGGAAACUGGGAAACUUGAGUGCAGAAGAGGAAAGUGGAAUUCCAAGUGUAGCGGUGAAAUGCGUAGAGAUUUGGAGGAACACCAGUGGCGAAGGCGACUUUCUGGUCUGUAACUGACGCUGAGGCGCGAAAGCGUGGGGAGCAAACAGGAUUAGACUACCCUGGUAGUCCACGCUGUAAACGAUGAGUGAUAGUAGUAGUAGGUUCCGUCC
This 509-nucleotide ribosomal RNA is filed under the name uncultured bacterium. RNAcentral describes it as "bacterial SSU rRNA". It matches the Rfam family "Bacterial small subunit ribosomal RNA", at positions 338 to 837 of the family's 1533-position model. The record is from RNAcentral.